UACGUAGGGUGCAAGCGUUAAUCGGAAUUACUGGGCGUAAAGCGUGCGCAGGCGGCUUUGCAAGACAGAUGUGAAAUCCCCGGGCUUAACCUGGGAACUGCAUUUGUGACUGCAAGGCUAGAGUACGGUAGAGGGGGAUGGAAUUCCGCGUGUAGCAGUGAAAUGCGUAGAGAUGUGGAGGAACACCGAUGGCGAAGGCAGCCCCCUGGGUCAAAACUGACGCUCAUGCACGAAAGCGUGGGGAGCAAACAGG
Molecule: ribosomal RNA, 253 nt
Filed under: uncultured bacterium
Lineage: Bacteria
Description: partial 16S ribosomal RNA
Rfam family: Bacterial small subunit ribosomal RNA
Source: RNAcentral